AACUGUCCAAUUUUUCCCGCUCAGAUCAACAUUACAGAAGAACCGAGAAAACUGAAGAGAUUCAGAAUUCGGAUAGGGCAUAGCGAUGGCGAUUCCGGCAUGAUCUUGGGAAUACCCUAGGAACACCGCCGCCGCAGAGUUAUAAUCUAUUCACCUGCUACAGCAACUCAACAAGGUUCUGGGAAAGUUGGGAAGUGGAAAGUAAAUUUUCUGUCUACACAAAACCGUAAAUCAUAUGCAGACAGAUAACUUCGAAUGGAGGGGGCCUGCAGAGUCCUAGGAAUUUUAACAUCGUCCAGCUGCUAGCCGCUUUAAUUGCCCACGUAGUGAGAUGUUGCACGU
This is a long non-coding RNA of Ipomoea triloba (trilobed morning glory), 342 nucleotides long. RefSeq lists it as uncharacterized. The record is from RefSeq and is a predicted model, not a curated record. NCBI's taxonomy places the organism in Eukaryota, Viridiplantae, Streptophyta, Magnoliopsida, Solanales, Convolvulaceae. The transcript has 3 exons.